This 376-nucleotide long non-coding RNA is filed under the name Gossypium barbadense (sea-island cotton). RNAcentral describes it as "long non-coding RNA (GBAR_LNC012120)". The record is from RNAcentral. Lineage: Eukaryota; Viridiplantae; Streptophyta; Magnoliopsida; Malvales; Malvaceae.
AACUGCACAGGAGAAGACAAUUAGAAUCUGUAUGGAAAAAACAUUAAAAAAAAUCACAAGGCCUACCCAAGAAACCAAAGAUUUGGCCAACUAAGUUCUAAAGGAUAUGGAUUUGAACGCACUUAUGCGCGUAAUACUUCAAUUUAGUUAGUUUGAGGUUUGCAGGAUUUAUGGGCAGUUAAGGAAAUGUAAGAAAAAAAAAACCGAAGAUUUGAAGAUUUCGAUAUCUAGCUUGGGUAUUUUGAGGUAUCAAAAUCAAUUGAUUUCUGUUCCUUCAAAAGCUCCAAAGCAAAGAUGGAUUGCAUUUGCAGUUUUAGACUUAAGCUCAUGAAAAGAACCGAGGAAAAAUGGUACAUCAGUCUAAGAGAUACCAACC